This 252-nucleotide ribosomal RNA is filed under the name uncultured bacterium. Its description in RNAcentral is "partial 16S ribosomal RNA". It matches the Rfam family "Bacterial small subunit ribosomal RNA", at positions 524 to 776 of the family's 1533-position model. The record is from RNAcentral.
UACGUAGGGGGCUAGCGUUAUCCGGAAUUACUGGGCGUAAAGGGUGCGUAGGUGGUUUCUUAAGUCAGAGGUGAAAGGCUACGGCUCAACCGUAGUAAGCCUUUGAAACUGGGGAACUUGAGUGCAGGAGAGGAGAGUGGAAUUCCUAGUGUAGCGGUGAAAUGCGUAGAUAUUAGGAGGAACACCAAUUGCGAAGGCGGCUCUCUGGACUGUAACUGACACUGAGGCACGAAAGCGUGGGGAGCAAACAGG